AUACCAACUCCUGAUUUCUUCAAGCAAACACUGGUCGCAGCAGUCUUCUCUUUGUUCACAAGCUGGCACACCUCUCCGGUUGCAGUGGAUACUAUAUUCUCGAUGCCUAGAUCUUUCCUAGCUUCUAUGCUGAAAUAGCUGUGAAUGGCUGUCUUCUUUAUUAAAAUGUAUCUUUUCAUAUUCGUGUUCUUUUUGUGUAACCUUUUUGUGAUCUAUAGAAUUGAUGAUUUGAGAUUGCAGGUGUUUUUGAUGUGCACCUGCAGUGGUAAUUAAAUCGAGCUCACUGGUGCUUAAAUUUGUUUAAGCACAUUCUAGUAUACUCCACUACCCCAAACCUUGUCACCCAUAGACUGGAGCUUUGUAAAGCAUUACCUCAUUCCUUAAAUAGACAGACUGCAACAAAGUCACAGCAUCAGGUGUUCCGAGGAGAAGAUUGUUUGAACCUGCACAUUUGAUUUUAAAAUUGAUUCAUAUUUUUUAGACUUAGCUUUAGAAUAGUGUGACAUCUUUUGUUGUUAAAAUAGAAAUACAGUUAUGAGAGUUACUGAAAAAUCAAGGUUAUGCUACUGAAUACAAAGAAAAAUAUGGAUACUUGGUGAGCCCUCAGGGAUCUGAGCCUUCUGCUGUGGCUAAGUUAAUGUCUUAUGUUUUUUUCACCAUUGACUUGGGUGUAUUUCAGACUCCUGUAGCGGUUUUAUCGACUUGGUGGGUUCCUGUAUUUAUAAAGAUGCAUAGAACCAUUCUGUAUUGGUUUACAUUGUUUAGCUUUGUUGAGCUAUGGCAGACUCCUGUAGCAUUUUAAUCACCUUAAUGGAGUCCUAUAUCUUUGUCUUAGGGUUUUAUUGCCAAGUUCUGAUGCUUGCUGGGGCUGGAACAUGGACCCCUUAUUCAAAACAUUUUUACCAUGGUUUCCUUUACUACUCAAUCUUGUCUGCCCUGGAACUUGGUGUAUAGGUCAUGAUGGCCUUGAACUCAGAGCUCUGCCUGCCUCUGCCUUCUUAGUGCUGGUGUUAAAGGUGUGCACUACUAUGCCUGCCCCUAUACUUUUCACAAGUCAAAAGCUUGAUUGGAUGGAGUCUUGCCCUGAGGUCACCACUCCCUAUAUUACAUUUAGAAUUAGGCUUUUUAAACUUCAUCUCCUUGAGCACAAGGACCAUUACACUUCCUGGUGCCCCUUUUGUCUUCAGACUGUUCCCUUUGUAUAUUUUCCUUGCUCACCUCUUUCCUUUUUUUGUUAUAGAUCUGUAUAAAAUGGGCCACUGAUAACCACACAGUUAAAGUAGGGUAUUUUUGAAAUCUCUGCCAAAGCUGUUAAUCUAUAACCUUCCAAUUUAGCCUCAGGCAGAUUUUUGGACAAGGGUAGAAAGCAGCUACAAUCUUCACCAAAAUACCAAAGGCGUAUUCUCUAGCCCACAUACUAAUAAACUUCUCUGGAACCACUCGAGCCAGCCCCCCACCCCCGCCCCCAUUAACCUACUGUUUUCUAUGCUCCUAUUAGUAUGGCUCAUUAAAACCUUAAAGAACGGGGUUGGGGAUUUAGCUCAGUGGUAGAGCGCUUAGGCCCUGGGUUCGGUCCCCAGCUCCAAAAAAAAAGAAAAGGGAAAAAAAAAAAAAAACCUUAAAGAACACAUUCCUAAACCAGAGUGCCAAAACACCAUGGCCAAGUCAACUCUUAUGAAGGAAAACGUGAAUUGGGGCUGGCUUAUGGAUUCAGAGGUUUAGUCCACUGUCGUCGUGGGAAGCACGUGGGAAGCACGGCAGCGUGCAGGCAGAGCGCUGAGAGAGGUAGCUGAGAAUUCUGCAUCUGGAUCAGCAGGCAGCAGAAAGAAAGAGAUACUGGGCCAGGCUUGAGCAUUUGAAGCUUCUAAGCCCACCCCCAGUGACACACUUCCCCCAGGAAGGCCACACCUCCUAAUAAUGCUACCUCCUAUGGGCCUCAUUCAAAUCAUUGAAUUUUGUAAUUGAUUAUUUAUAUAGUGUUGCUCAUAACACAGGAAAAAUUUUAACUAAGAAUGAUUGACAAGGGCAGUUGAUGGGACUAGUUUGAGGCAGAAGCCAAGAAAAAAGGCUUGAAUUUUAGAAGUGUUCUUGUUCUUCAUAUCUUAAAUUCUGUCAUAUUUUGUUUGAUUUUAAACCUUAUUGCAUUGCCCAUGAAGGUAAUGAGUGCUUGGAGGACAAGGGCCCUCUGCAUAUACCCUGGAAUAUUCUUUAAGAUUCCAGGACAGGCGCAGUUAGCAUACCACAGCUCCAAUCCCUACCCUACCUGCCAAUUUGUUCUAGGGAUUUAGGUAGAACAGUUUAGGUCAUUUCUUUUAUGUGCUGCUAUGAAUUCAUUAUUUUGUUGCUAUAACAAAAUAAUCAAAGAUUAGUAAUUAUGAAGAAAACAAAAUUAUUUGCUUUUUGAUUUUGGAGGUCUAAGAAAUGAAAGGGCCCACCUUUGUCCCAUGGUUUACUUACCAGUGUAUGGAAGUUUUCACUCUGGUUUUGGUACAGACAAACUGUAGAAGUAGCAUUUUGCUGAGACAGCAGCCUUAGCUUUUUGGGUUUUGUACUUUUUCCUUCAUCAUCCUGGUCGUUUCUGUCUUUUUGUUUUAAAAGUGAACUUUCUGGUAAAGUGUAAGUUUUACAAAACUGAAACUCAGUAAUUAUAAAGUGAAUACAUCCCUAAUACUAAGACUAAAGUGUGACCAGUGUAAAAAAGGUUUCUUGUGCCUUCUCAAUUGCUUUCCCCGUGAUGAUUACCAUUAUCUUAUGAAUUUAUUUUUAUAAAUAAAUGUAGAAUCAUGCAGUGUAUACUUGGGUUUUAUUUUGUUUCUGUUUUUUAUAUCUCACUGGUGAUUAAGCCCAGGGCCUUGAACAUGCUGAGUAAGCAGUAUACCACACUGAGGUGUGCUCUGGCAUCAUGCUCCAGCUGCUUAAAACGAACAGUGGGCUUUAUCUGUGUUGUAAUAUGUAGUACCAAGUAGCGCAUUCCUUAUGGAAUGUGGUACUUCUUCAUUAUACAACUAUAUCAUGACUUAUCCAGUGUGGUGUUAGUUAUGAAAGGACAUUCUGCUUCAAAAGAAAAAGAAAGGAAAAGGGAAAAUUUCUAAAUGCUGAAAGAACAUGGAGUUGAGGAGGAGUUAUUAGCAGGAAGAAUAUCACCAAAAAACACGUAUGAAAUUCUCAAAUAAGUAAAAACAUUAAAAAAAAUACUGCCUUGAAUGUUUUUAUGUCUUAUGGUAUACAUGCGUUUAUGCUUUUAUGGCAAAUGGCCAAGGUGAGAAGUUACUUAAGUUAUUACAGAAGGGAUACCACAUUUGAUUUACCACACAGCUCUCAAGUUUUCCAGCAUGGUUGUGCCAUGUGCACCCUUCCGACAGCUUGGUAUUGAUGCCACUGUGGAUAUUACGAAGGCUGUACGCUGAGGCAGGAAAGAGCUCCUGAGGACAGCUCCUGCUGAGGCAGGAGCAGAGAUGCGCACCACCGUGGACAGCUCCUGUGAGACCAGUGGGCGAGGAGGUGCUCCACCGUGGACAGCUCCCAACGCUAUAGGUUGAAGAUGUUGAGAUGCCCUCACUUGACAGAAACUGCCAUUUCAACAGCUCCUGUGGGGCUUCUUACAGCCGCUGUGGGGUGGCCCGGGGUGGAAAGGAGGGGCCAGCCGCUGAUUUGACCGCCUUUGAGGCGCACCGCUCAGGGAUUACAAAGAUGACAGAUUCUGGAGUUUCCUGUUUAAGCAUAAGUUACUGUGUUGUGCUUUAUAAAGAUCUCUUUCAAUUUAGUUUUUUACAUGAUCGCAUUUUAGUCUGAUCACAUCAAUUCUUCACUCUCCCCUCCAACUCCCAAUUCUCUUCCCCAUAUCAGCUUCCCGCUGUCAUGAUACUUGCUGAGUCAAAUCAGUCAAAUCAUACAUUGCUGUAGGGCUGUGCAGUGAAGCACGGUUAACUAAAUCAGGGUCCCUAGCCCUGAAGAAACCUGACUGUCCCCUAGCCUCCAUGCAGCAUCUCGCAUAGGAGUGCAGCUUUGUGUAGCAUCCGUAGUUGUUGAGAAUCCAUGAGCGCACCUGUCUGUCGUGUUCAGAGGACGCUGGAUGGGUGCCACCUGGGGAUGACUUAGUCUCUACUCUUGAUCACUGUCCGUCUUCUGUAAUAGUUCCAUCCACUGCCAAAAGGAGCUUCUCUGAGGAGGGUAAGCUCUGGACUGGCCUGUGGGUUAGAGAUAAGCAUUUAGGAGGCAGUUAGAUAUUACAUCAGUGUAACAAAAGGGUGGUGGUAGAUUUCUUUCUAGCUACAGCUUCAUGGCCAAAUUUACAGUAUGGGUCAUCAGUUUCCUGUUGUUGAAGCAGACCUUAAAUCUAACAUGCAUACCCAGAUAAAAGCAAUUUGAAGAAGAAAAGGUUUACUUAAGUCUAUGGUUCUAGAUGAAUAGAGUCCAUUAUGGUAGGUAAGGUGUGGCCACUAAAAGAAAGCAUGGUCAAUUAUGGUUUUAGCUGCACGCAGGAAGCUGGGGUAGACUGCACCUCUUGAAUCUAAAGAGGCACCUCCUUUAGUUUUGGGAGGUGUUUGAAGGUCUGUCCUGCGCCUGUGAUCUGGAGUUGUUCUCAUUUGUCUGUGCCCAUGAUUGUUGCCGCAUACUCGGCGCUUCUCUCCUGGGCUCACUCAGGCCCGGGUGAUCGCUCGGGUGGUCGCUCUCUCGCUAGUUCUGGCUCGGUCGGGCCUUAGGGAUGAGCGCUGAUUUAUCUCAGCAGCUCCACGCUACCCCCAAGUACUUUCUGACCUGGGCAGUCGGUGAGCUGUUCCAGCGUGGCACCUUGCCACUCUGGGCUCUAGUGUUAGCUCUGGCCCUGAUGGGGCCAGAUGGAACUAACCAUAAUUUAUAUCU
Molecule: non-coding RNA, 4863 nt
Organism: Rattus norvegicus (Norway rat)
Lineage: Eukaryota; Metazoa; Chordata; Mammalia; Rodentia; Muridae
Source: RefSeq, a predicted model, not a curated record